AGAGUUUGAUCCUGGCUCAGAAUGAACGCUGGCGGCAUGCCUAACACAUGCAAGUCGAACGAAGGCUUCGGCCUUAGUGGCGCACGGGUGCGUAACGCGUGGGAAUCUGCCCUUGGUUCGGAAUAACAGUUAGAAAUGACUGCUAAUACCGGAUGAUGACGUAAGUCCAAAGAUUUAUCGCCGAGGGAUGAGCCCGCGUAGGAUUGGCUAGUUGGUGUGGUAAGAGCGCACCAAGGCGACGAUCCUUAGCUGGUCUGAGAGGAUGAUCAGCCACACUGGGACUGAGACACGGCCCAGACUCCUACGGGAGGCAGCAGUGGGGAAUAUUGGACAAUGGGCGAAAGCCUGAUCCCAGCAAUGCCGCGUGAGUGAUGAAGGCCUUAGGGUUGUAAAGCUCUUUUACCCGGGAUGAUAAUGACAGUACCGGGAGAAUAAGCUCCGGCUAACUCCGUGCCAGCCGCCGC
Molecule: ribosomal RNA, 464 nt
Filed under: uncultured bacterium
Lineage: Bacteria
Description: bacterial SSU rRNA
Rfam family: Bacterial small subunit ribosomal RNA
Source: RNAcentral